UGCCCCAUAGUCUGGGAUACCACUUGGAAACAGGUGCUAAUACCGGAUAAGAAAGCGGAUCGCAUGAUCAGCUUUUAAAAGGCGGCGUAAGCUGUCGCUAUGGGAUGGCCCCGCGGUGCAUUAGCUAGUUGGUAAGGUAAAGGCUUACCAAGGCGAUGAUGCAUAGCCGAGUUGAGAGACUGAUCGGCCACAUUGGGACUGAGACACGGCCCAAACUCCUACGGGAGGCAGCAGGC
This 236-nucleotide ribosomal RNA is filed under the name uncultured Lactobacillus sp. RNAcentral describes it as "partial 16S ribosomal RNA". It matches the Rfam family "Bacterial small subunit ribosomal RNA", at positions 127 to 354 of the family's 1533-position model. Lineage: Bacteria; Bacillati; Bacillota; Bacilli; Lactobacillales; Lactobacillaceae. The record is from RNAcentral.